AUGACUGUACCCACAGAAAAAGCCACGGCUAACUACGUGCCAGCAGCCGCGGUAAGACGUAGGUGGCAAGCGUUAUCCGGAAUUAUUGGGCGUAAAGGGCGUGUAGGUGGCGGAGUAAGUCAUAAGUUAAAUUACUGGGCUCAACCCAGAUACUGCUUUUGAAACUGCUUUGCUAGAGUUCGGGAGAAGAAGGUGGAAUUAUCAGAGUAGCGGUGGAAUGCGUAGAUACUGAUAGGAAGGCCAAAGACGAAGGUAGCCUUCUGGACCGACACUGACACUGAGGCGCGAAAGCUAGGGGAGCAAACAGGAUUAGAUACCCUGGUAGUCCUAGCUGUAAACGAUGGAUACUGGAUGUGGGAUAUCAUAUAUUCCGUGUCGAAGCUAACGCGUUAAGUAUCCCGCCUGGGGAGUACGAUCGCAAGAUUGAAACUUAAAGGAAUUGACGGGGACCCGCACAAGCGGUGGAGCAUGUGGUUUAAUUCGAUGCAACGCGAGAAACCUUACCAGAUCUUGACAUUUUAAGGAAUUGUUUGGAAACAUGCGAGUCUCUUCGGAGACCUUAAAACAGGUGGUGCAUGGCUGUCGUCAGCUCGUGCCGUGAGGUGUUGGAUUAAGUUCCGCAACGAGCGCAACCCCUACGUAUAGUUGCCAGCAUUUAGUUGGGGACUCUAUACGAACAGCCUGCGAUGAGCAGGAGGAAGGUGGGGACGAGGUCAAGUCAUCAUGCCCCUUACGAUCUGGGCUACACACGUGCUACAAUGGUUACUACAGAAGGUUGCAAUACAGUGAUGUUGAGCUAAUCCUCAAAAGUAAUCUUAGUUCGGAUUGUAGUCUGCAACUCGACUACAUGAAGCUGGAAUCGCUAGUAAUCGUGAAUCAGAAUGUCACGGUGAAUACGUUCU
This 902-nucleotide ribosomal RNA is filed under the name marine metagenome. Its description in RNAcentral is "bacterial SSU rRNA". It matches the Rfam family "Bacterial small subunit ribosomal RNA", at positions 469 to 1374 of the family's 1533-position model. The record is from RNAcentral.